GUCGAUGUGGCGGAAUGGUAGACGUGCACGUUUGAGGGGCGUGUGGAGUAAUCCGUGGGGGUUCAAGUCCCCCCAUCGACA
This 81-nucleotide transfer RNA is filed under the name Clostridium sp. CAG:729. Its description in RNAcentral is "transfer RNA-Leu(GAG)". It matches the Rfam family "tRNA". Rfam says of the family: Transfer RNA (tRNA) molecules are approximately 80 nucleotides in length. Lineage: Bacteria; Bacillati; Bacillota; Clostridia; Eubacteriales; Clostridiaceae. RNAcentral also lists the same sequence under 4 other names. The record is from RNAcentral.